RNAcentral lists this non-coding RNA (172 nucleotides) under Myroides sp. A21. Lineage: Bacteria; Pseudomonadati; Bacteroidota; Flavobacteriia; Flavobacteriales; Flavobacteriaceae. The record is from RNAcentral.
UCCAUCGUGAGUUGGAAUCUGAAGGAAGCUUUAGGUAAAGUCUUGACCUGACGAACAGAAACUAUAUAUAAGGCUAGAAAUGUCGGAUAAGGUUGCAUAUCAAACUGAAGUCCUAAGCUGUACAGAGACAUCAUAGUAAAUAUAGCAGGUAUAUGAGAUGAAAGUUAUCGUU